GCGACCCCGUCUCGCUUACGCGCAGAAACGCCAUUCUCUCUAAUAGACCUUUUCUUCCCUCUCUCGCGCAAGUCAAUAGAAACCAGUCCAUCGCGCGUGGAGGAAGGAGGCAACAACGGAUACCUGCACUUUGCUGAUGCCGUACGACCUCUGCAACACACAAGACGACGCGAAAUUGUCCUUGGCAUUGUAGGAUCGAGCCACAUCGCUUGCCAAGGACGAGGGAUCGAUCUCAACCCUCCACCUCCCCUUAAUUCCGUCCGAAUCGCGUGGAUUUUGGAUAAGGUUUUGAAAUUCGAAUUCCAAAUGGGCCGAAAGUCUUGGAAUUUCCUCGUCCUGCCCCCAAAAUCGAAAACCCUAGUAAUUCCCCUAUAAAUACCCUUUGCUUCGUUGGUUUCAGGGGAGAAUUUUUUUUUUUAUAGAAAGAUAUAUACAGAGGAUUUUUUUUUGUUUUUUGGGAAAAGAAAUUGUUCCAAACCCGGAAUUCUCUCUCGAAUUCUUUGCUACUGUGUACGUGCCGUUGCGUCGUCUUAUCUCAACUCGUCCUGUCCGCGGUAUCGCUGCUCGAAACAAGGAUCAAAACAUCCUCCCCGAGUCGUAGACCCUCUCAAAACUGGUGUACAGGUCGAAAACAGCAAAUAUGGUGCUGUAAAAUUAUAUUUUCAGGUGUUGAAGAAGCCGUAUACCAGCUAUAUACAUAUUUUAUACACCCAUAUACAGGUCAAAAUACGUACAGGAAGCCAAAUGCGAAACCUGAGUUGAUAACAGUCCAGAUAUACUUCUGGAAAUUAUUUUUCUGCUGUCGAAAGUUGAAGAACAGGUCGAUAUACAACCUGUAUACACUGAUAUACAAAUGUUUUAUACCAAAUAGGUGUAAAAAAUACGAAUUGCAGGUUUAACGUACAGGGAUGCCGAAUUUGAGUAAAAUUCAGGAACAACGAAUUAAAACGCGCAUAGGGUACAAAUGCGCUGAAAUAAUAUGGAAAAUAUAGGUGGAAUCGCGAGAAUUCAUUUUCAAACAAAAUACAGGGCUCAAAAAGUCCAAAAUGGACCGGAUAUAUAUAUCGUAUACAGCGGUAUACAUCAGUUAUAUACCCUAAUUCUCUUUUUUCAGGAAAAAUGGGCCAGGGCCCAUCAACAGAAUUUAAGGAAAUAGGCCCAAAGGCCAUAUAUUGUUUCAGACAUGAUUUGAAUUGUUGAAAAGGGCCCAAGCCUAUAUUCUUGAAAUAUGUAGUGUAGGACAGGUGGGCCAAAGCCCAAUUUACUGAAUUUUGGCAAUUAGCCCAAGUUCAAAUAAUAUUCCCUUCUCACCCUCUUUUAUUUAUUAUUGAUUUGGAUUGACUAACAUUUGGUGGAAUUUUAUUAAUCUCUUAAAGGGCCACCAUUUUUUGUAUAACUUACAUAAAUGCCAUAGUGUAAAAUCUAAAUUACCUUCUAUCCCUAUUAUUUUUAUAAUUACAUAUAUUCCAUAUUUUUUAGACAUUUCAGAUACAUAAUUAAGGAUCCGGAUACAUUAUUGCUGAUACAUUAUGUAUCAAUCUGUUGCACUUAUUAAGGAAAAAAAGCUGUAAAAUCAAUUUAAAAUCUCAUAGUAUCCAUUUGUUCCACUAAUUAAGGGG
This 1619-nucleotide long non-coding RNA is filed under the name Solanum lycopersicum (tomato). RNAcentral describes it as "partial TCONS_00089860". Lineage: Eukaryota; Viridiplantae; Streptophyta; Magnoliopsida; Solanales; Solanaceae. The record is from RNAcentral.